Non-coding RNA from Macaca mulatta (Rhesus monkey), 2177 nucleotides. The record is from RefSeq and is a predicted model, not a curated record. Lineage: Eukaryota; Metazoa; Chordata; Mammalia; Primates; Cercopithecidae.
UAUGCAUGCACAGAAGAGGUGAGAAAGUGCCCUAGCCAUCACUUACCCCUGUCUGAACACUAUGAGCACAGGCAGGGAAAUUCAAGAGGAACCAAUGGAAAGUAGUAGCCUGAGAUGUGCAUUUAUUCUCCAAUCCAUAUACAGAUUUCAUACGGAGCAUGGAAGACUCACUUGAUCUCAAUGUUUCAAUACCAUUUCUAUUCAAUCACUGGCUGAGUUCACAACAUUUGGAAUCCGGAUUUACAAAAAAGAACAAAACAAAUUUUGAGCAGAAACAUUAGUGAAUGCACACUGAUGGGGGGAACAGACAAUACAGAUUUUGUUCAAUCUUAGCAACGUUGUUGGAAAACAGUUGACCAUAGAUGUACGGGUUUAUUUCUGGACUCUCAGUUCUAUUCCACUGAUCUAUAUGUUCAUGCCAGUACUACAAUAUUUUCAUUACUCUGGCUCUGUGGGAAGAAAAUAAGAAAAAAAAAAAUCACUCUGCAAGAUUCUGUAACCCAGAAACCCAAGAAGGAAAGAAAGAGCUGCAUGGUGACCCUGACAACUCCCUUUUUCUCAACCCUCAUCUGAAAUAGAUGCAUACUACAAGGAGGCACAAUGAUAAUGAGCUUAUUUCCUUCAAGCUACAAUCAAGAUGCUGAAAUAAAGGCUGUGCUACAAUAUCUUUUGCCUUAUAUUCUGACAUCAGUGAAAUCAAGGCAAGUGCUCUGCUUUGGCCAGUGUUUUCGUACUUUCUAUUAGCAAUUUACAUACAAAACACAUGCUUUUAGGAGUCCAUAAAUUAUUUCAGGAAUUCAUCUCUAUUUGGAAAGUUAAGCAAUUUCAAAGGCAAUAGUAGUCACCCAUCUAUAAGGAAAGCUACACUUUAACUGCUAAAUGGAACUGCAGGGAUGCAUACAGAAAUUAGAACUGCCUGCAAUGCGCAGUUCAGAAUAAAGAAAGCCAACAAGGGCCACAAUAAAAGUAAUUAUAGCUCUAAGAAAAGCUUUCAAGGAUUUGAAACAGACUCAGAAUUUCUGAGCUUAAUUGGUUUCUACACAAAUAUACAUAUAGUCCAUCUGUCUGUAUGAACACACGUUCUUCUCUGUUUUGGUUAAACCUUCAUUUUAUUCCUUGGUUAACUACUACAGAUACAUUAGAAAGUUUUGUUCUGCUGUGUUAGAAUGUCACAGAAUGACUAACUCAAACCUAAAAUAGAGAACAAUGUGAAAGCCUGUGAAUGUGACAUUCAACUUGAGGGCCACACGGAAAGUGACAAUAUCAAGUAAGUAGAGGGUGGUGCUAGAUAUACCCACAAACUGCUGCCAUGAGAUUACUCAAGUUUUGGUGCCUUAAGGAAUUUUCCUAGGCAACCUUUUCUCUGCACUUCAUUCUACUUAUCUAAUUUAGUUCUGCAAAUUAAAAUUUGCUGAGCUACCUGUGAAGAUGCACAUUCUCAACCUUAAACAAUUCUAGAAAUGUGACAGGAGAUGGGUAACUUCUGGAUCUUUAAUAUUCCCUUUUGGCUUUGAAUAGAUGAUGCUACUACUACCCUUAUUUUAGGUGUGAGAGAAUAGUGGAUAAAAUGUUGUGUAGACAUUCUGAAUAAUAUAUAAAGUAGAACUAGAAUUAUAAUAGCAUAAAAAUAAUCACAAUAUAUUUUUAAAUAAUAAAAUAGCAGCAAUAAUAGUAAGAAAAAGUUUGUGGAAGAUUUGGACUGAAAGCAAAAUGUCAUAAUUUGUUGUUUCAAAGAUAAGUGCCGACAAAAAUUUUCUCCUUGAACAAACUCUUAUCGGGCUCCAGUGAACUCUCUACUCACCUAGACUCAGAUUUUUGAGCUUCUAUGUUUAUCUCUGCACUGUCCAAUUCUAGCAAGAAUUUUACUAAGUCAGUUUAACCGGAAUCCUCUACUCUCAUCGCUUGAUACUUGAUUGGGUUCCUCAUCUUCCACCAUCUCCCAGGUGAUGUCUGAUCACCCUGGCCUGCCCUGAGCAAGAAUUCUGCUAGGUCAGUUUGCUCAAAAUUCCUAUUAACCCUGACGUUUUCCCUUAGUAAUUUUUCAUCAACUAACCCCCACCCACCACUCUGCUUCUUGACUAUAAAUUCCCACUUUUCCUUAUUAUAUUUGGGAUGGAGCCCAAUUUCUUUCUCCCACUGUAAAAAUACAUUGUGGUGGUCCCUGUUACUAUUGUGAU